This is a microRNA precursor of Pseudonaja textilis, 96 nucleotides long. NCBI's taxonomy places the organism in Eukaryota, Metazoa, Chordata, Lepidosauria, Squamata, Elapidae. The record is from Ensembl.
UAUUUAAGCUGAAUGCAUUGUGAUUUCCAGUAAUUGAGACAGUGAUUCUGAAAGCUGUCCACAUUAAUGAAAAGAGCAAUGUAGUCAGCUUAACUG